RNAcentral lists this ribosomal RNA (468 nucleotides) under uncultured bacterium. RNAcentral's name for it is "partial 16S ribosomal RNA". It matches the Rfam family "Bacterial small subunit ribosomal RNA", at positions 28 to 507 of the family's 1533-position model. The record is from RNAcentral.
GACGAACGCUGGCGGCGUGCUUAACACAUGCAAGUCGAACGGAAAGGCCCUGCUUUUGUGGGGUGCUCGAGUGGCGAACGGGUGAGUAACACGUGAGUAACCUGCCCUUGACUUUGGGAUAACUUCAGGAAACUGGGGUUAAUCCAGGACAGGAGCUCACGCUGCAGGGUGGGGGUUGGAAAGUUUCGGCGGUUGGGGUUGGACUGGCGGCUUAUGGGCUUGCUGGUGGGGGAGUGGUUUACCAAGGCUGUGACGGGUCGCCCGCCUGGGAGGGUGACCGGGCUCCUUGGGACUGAGGGACGGCCCAGACUGCUACAUGAGGCAGCGGUGGGGAGUAUUGCACAGUGGGCGGGAGCCUGAUGCGACAACGCCGCGUUCGUGAUGACGGCCUUCGGGUUGUAAACCGCUUUCGCCUGUGACGAAGCGUGAGUGACGGUAAUGGGUGAAGAAGCACCGGCUAACUACGUG